This 247-nucleotide ribosomal RNA is filed under the name uncultured bacterium. RNAcentral's name for it is "partial 16S ribosomal RNA". It matches the Rfam family "Bacterial small subunit ribosomal RNA", at positions 86 to 334 of the family's 1533-position model. The record is from RNAcentral.
AGAUGGCGACCGGCGCACGGGUGAGUAACACGUAUCCAACCUGCCGAUAACUCGGGGAUAGCCUUUCGAAAGAAAGAUUAAUACCCGAUGGUACAAUCAGACCGCAUGGUCUUGUUAUUAAAGAAUUUCGGUUAUCGAUGGGGAUGCGUUCCAUUAGGCAGUUGGUGAGGUAACGGCUCACCAAACCUUCGAUGGAUAGGGGUUCUGAGAGGAAGGUCCCCCACAUUGGAACUGAGACACGGUCCAA